UUAAAUUAUAAUUUUAAAAUAAAAAAUUAAUUAAAAUUAUAUUUAAAUUUUAAAAAAUAAUUUAAAAUUAAAAAUACAUUCGAUAAAUAACUAAAUAAAAAUUUACAAUUGAUUUUAACUUUUAAAAAAAAUUAAAACCCCUAAAACUAUUCUGCUUCUCCUGCUUCUCUAUCCCUCUCCUUCACUGUCUUCUAUCCUCCCCACGACUCUCCGGCGCUAUUCCGUUGACGUCAUCACUUGGCCGAUUCAACUCCUCGUCAUUCGCCCGCAAUGUCGAUCUUUGAGGAGUUCAGAUUUAGAAUCCAUGCGGGAACGAGGCCGGUCUCAGUCCGUCCAUAAGUUUUGAGAUGGAAUGCUCCACGACGCUGACGGUUUGGGUAGCCAAUGAAAGUGACGAAAGCAACGCAGAUUUGGGUUUGAUGAUUGAGAAAUCGCGAAGGACAUGAACGGAUCUGAUUUUUUGCAAGCUCUUCAUCUUCUCAAAAGCUCCGUAGCUCAGUUCGUCCGAAGCUCUCCGGUAUGGUCUGAGUGCGUCCGAAGCUCUCCGUUCGUGGACGACCAAAGGUGCGAUUUGUACUCAACUUCUAGAAGCUUGACGACACUCUUAUCCAGCCUAUUGUGUUAGUGAAAUGAAGCUCGACUGCUUGGGUGACUUCUAUGACUGCUUGGGGAAAGGGAGAAAGCUUAAUAGACCUAGUUUUAGGUUCUUGGUUUUUGGUAGAUCUAAGAUUUGGAUGGAUUUUGUUUUCUAAUAUUCAUGAUUUUGUUCAAAGUUUGUUGAUAUAUGGGUUUUGUUCAACUAAGAUUUUUGGAACUUUGAUUUUUUUUUUCCCUUCUAAGUUGUUCAUAUUGAAUAAAUGAGCUUAAAUUUCGA
Humulus lupulus (European hop) is the source of this 874-nucleotide long non-coding RNA. RefSeq lists it as uncharacterized. The transcript has 2 exons. Lineage: Eukaryota; Viridiplantae; Streptophyta; Magnoliopsida; Rosales; Cannabaceae. The record is from RefSeq and is a predicted model, not a curated record.